This 275-nucleotide ribosomal RNA is filed under the name uncultured prokaryote. RNAcentral's name for it is "partial 16S ribosomal RNA". It matches the Rfam family "Bacterial small subunit ribosomal RNA", at positions 524 to 798 of the family's 1533-position model. The record is from RNAcentral.
UACGGAGGAUGCGAGCGUUAUCCGGAUUUAUUGGGUUUAAAGGGUGCGCAGGCGGGAGAUUAAGUCGGCGGUGAAAUUUUGCAGCUUAACUGUAAAAGUGCCUUCGAAACUGGUUUCCUUGAGUGUAGAUGAAGUAGGCGGAAUUUGUGGUGUAGCGGUGAAAUGCAUAGAUAUCACGAGGAACUCCGAUUGCGCAGGCAGCUUACUAAACUACUACUGACGCUCAGGCACGAAGGCGUGGGGAUCAAACAGGAUUAGAUACCCCCGUAGUCCCU